CAAGGAAUUUUCCGCAAUGGGCGAAAGCCUGACGGAGCAACGCCGCGUGGGGGAUGACGCUUUUCGGAGUGUAAACCCCUUUUCCCAGGGAAGAACACAAUGACGGUACCUGGGGAAUAAGGACCGGCUAACUACGUGCCAGCAGCCGCGGUAAUACGUAGGGUCCGAGCGUUGUCCGGAGUUACUGGGCGUAAAGCGCGCGCAGGCGGUUCGAUAAGACUGGCGUGAAAGCCCCCGGCUCAACCGGGGAGGGUCGUUGGUGACUGUCGGACUUGAAGACAGCAGGGGCAGGUGGAAUUCCCGGUGUAGUGGUGAAAUGCGUAGAGAUCGGGAGGAACACCCGUGGCGAAGGCGGCCUGCUGGGCUGGUCUUGACGCUGAGGCGCGAAGGCGUGGGGAGCGAACGGG
This 407-nucleotide ribosomal RNA is filed under the name uncultured bacterium. Its description in RNAcentral is "bacterial SSU rRNA". It matches the Rfam family "Bacterial small subunit ribosomal RNA", at positions 355 to 776 of the family's 1533-position model. The record is from RNAcentral.